GACGAACGCUGGCGGCGUGCUUAAAAAAUGCAAGUCGAACGGAAAGGCCCUGCUUUUGUGGGGUGCUCGAGUGGCGAAAGGGUGAGUAACACGUGAGUAACCUGCCCUUGACUUUGGGAUAACUUCAGGAAACUGGGGCUAAUACCGGAUAGGAGCUCCUGCUGCAUGGUGGGGGUUGGAAAGUUUCGGCGGGUGGGGAUGGACUCGCGGCUUAUCAGCUUGUUGGUGGGGUAGUGGCUUACCAAGGCUUUGACGGGUAGCCGGCCUGAGAGGGUGACCGGCCACAUUGGGACUGAGAUACGGCCCAGACUCCUACGGGAGGCAGCAGUGGGGAAUAUUGCACAAUGGGCGGAAGCCUGAUGCAGCAACGCCGCGUGCGGGAUGACGGCCUUCGGGUUGUAAACCGCUUUCGCCUGUGACGAAGCGUGAGUGACGGUAAUGGGUAAAGAAGCACCGGCUAACUACGUG
Molecule: ribosomal RNA, 468 nt
Filed under: uncultured bacterium
Lineage: Bacteria
Description: partial 16S ribosomal RNA
Rfam family: Bacterial small subunit ribosomal RNA
Source: RNAcentral